UUUCCGUAGGUGAACCUGCGGAAGGAUCAUUAAUGAGUUGUGAUGGGGUUGAUGCUGGCAGCCAAUUUUUUGGGUGCAUGUGCUCGCCCUGACAAUCAUCUUCCAAACACCUGUGCACAUUUUUGAGGGAGUUUCGAGUCGAUUGCUGCCUUUUGGCGAUUUUCUUGAAUUCCCUNAAAUCAUUAUACGCUGUUAGCAAAUGUUGAACGUGCUUUGUGCCGCAAGGCCAUUAAUAUAAUACAACUUUUAACAACGGAUCUCUUGGCUCUCGCAUCGAUGAAGAACGCAGCGAAAUGCGAUAAGUAAUGUGAAUUGCAGAAUUCAGUGAAUCAUCGAAUCUUUGAACGCACCUUGCGCUCCCUGGUAUUCCGGGGAGCACGCCUGUUCGAGUGUCGUGAAAUUUCUCAAAGCUUGGAUGGCCUUUUUUUGUCUGUCCUUAGCCUUGGUUGUUGGGCUUUGCCGUGUCCUGUAUUGGGACGGCUGGCCUUAAAAACAUUAGCUGAUCCUUGUGCGGCACUGGUUCUACUCAGCGUGAUAAUAGUCUGAUCGCUGAGGACGUCUUUUGGGAUGGCCAGUGCUCAUUUGGGUUGCUUAUAGACCUGGUCUUGCAGAUUCUUCAAUCUGUGGUUCCACUUUUCAGCUUUGACCUCGAAUCAGGUGGGACUACCCGCUGAACUUAAGCAUAUCAAUAAGCGGAGGAAAAGAAACUAACAAGGAUUCCCCUAGUAACGGCGAGUGAAGCGGGAAGAGCUCAAAUUUAAAAUCUGGCAAUCUUUGGUU
Molecule: ribosomal RNA, 780 nt
Filed under: uncultured Clavulina
Lineage: Eukaryota; Fungi; Basidiomycota; Agaricomycetes; Cantharellales; Hydnaceae
Description: eukaryotic LSU rRNA
Rfam family: 5.8S ribosomal RNA (bases 242-395)
Source: RNAcentral